This 271-nucleotide unclassified non-coding RNA is filed under the name uncultured Bartonella sp. Its description in RNAcentral is "partial 16S-23S ribosomal RNA intergenic spacer". The stretch from base 53 to 126 matches the Rfam family "tRNA". The record is from RNAcentral. Lineage: Bacteria; Pseudomonadati; Pseudomonadota; Alphaproteobacteria; Hyphomicrobiales; Bartonellaceae.
UCUCGUGUUUAUGAGAUUAUGCCGGAGAAGGUUUUCUCGGUUUGCCUCCGGAGGGCUUGUAGCUCAGUUGGUUAGAGCGCGCGCUUGAUAAGCGUGAGGUCGGAGGUUCAAGUCCUCCCAGGCCCACCAUCUUUAUAAGGGCUUAUAAUGGCACUUAUGAAAAGUUUGUUCCGCUUUUCACUUUUUCUUAAAGCAGUUCAAACUCUAAGGGUUUUAAUCCUUCUUUGUUUUAAGGGGCCGUAGCCCCCUUGGAAAAGCCCCGGUUUUGCGA